This 149-nucleotide ribosomal RNA is filed under the name Bacillus sp. bc15. RNAcentral's name for it is "23S rRNA. Bacterial LSU". It matches the Rfam family "Bacterial large subunit ribosomal RNA", at positions 2777 to 2925 of the family's 2925-position model. The record is from RNAcentral. RNAcentral also lists the same sequence under 1 other name. Lineage: Bacteria; Bacillati; Bacillota; Bacilli; Caryophanales; Bacillaceae.
GCAUCUAAGCAUGAAGCCCCCCUCAAGAUGAGAUUUCCCAUAGCGUAAGCUAGUAAGAUCCCUGAAAGAUGAUCAGGUUGAUAGGUUCGAGGUGGAAGCAUGGUGACAUGUGGAGCUGACGAAUACUAAUAGAUCGAGGACUUAACCAU